RNAcentral lists this ribosomal RNA (274 nucleotides) under uncultured bacterium. Its description in RNAcentral is "partial 16S ribosomal RNA". It matches the Rfam family "Bacterial small subunit ribosomal RNA", at positions 523 to 796 of the family's 1533-position model. The record is from RNAcentral.
AUACGGAGGGUGCAAGCGUUAUUCGGAAUCACUGGGCGUAAAGCGCGCGUAGGCGGAUAUUUAAGUCUCAUGUGAAAGCCCUGGGCUCAACCUGGGAACUGCAUGGGAUACUGGGUAUCUAGAAUACAGUAGAGGGUAGUGGAAUUUCAGGUGUAGCGGUGAAAUGCGUAGAGAUCUGAAGGAACAUCAGUGGCGAAGGCGACUACCUGGACUGAUAUUGACGCUGAGGUGCGAAAGCGUGGGGAGCAAACGGGAUUAGAAACCCUAGUAGUCC